GCCUUCGUGGUGUAAUGGUCAGCACGCUGAGUCGGUAUUUCAGAGGUCCGUGGUUCGAUCCCCGGCGAAGGCA
This 73-nucleotide transfer RNA is filed under the name Stegodyphus mimosarum. It matches the Rfam family "tRNA". Rfam says of the family: Transfer RNA (tRNA) molecules are approximately 80 nucleotides in length. Their secondary structure includes four short double-helical elements and three loops (D, anti-codon, and T loops). The record is from Rfam by way of RNAcentral. Lineage: Eukaryota; Metazoa; Arthropoda; Arachnida; Araneae; Eresidae.